GUCCACGCCUUAAACGAUGAGAACUAGACGUUGGGAGGGUUAGCCUCUCAGUGUCGCAGCUAACGCGAUAAGUUCUCCGCCUGGGGAGUACGGCCGCAAGGUUGAAACUCAAAGGAAUUGACGGGGACCCCGCACAAGCGGUGGAGCAUGUGGUUUAAUUCGAUGCAACGCGAAGAACCUUACCUGGCCUUGACAUCUGUCGAAUUCUGCAGAGAUGCGGAAGUGCCUUCGGGAACGACAAGACAGGUGCUGCAUGGCUGUCGU
This 264-nucleotide ribosomal RNA is filed under the name uncultured bacterium. RNAcentral describes it as "partial 16S ribosomal RNA". It matches the Rfam family "Bacterial small subunit ribosomal RNA", at positions 793 to 1055 of the family's 1533-position model. The record is from RNAcentral.